AGAAGGACCCCUCCAGAGCUUGUCCCUGCCAUGCGCCUCCUGUGCGCUGUGGUCCUGGCUGUCCUGGGGGCAGGGCACACGAAUGCUGGCAUCACCCAGAACCCGAGGCACAAAAUCACGAGGACAGGAGAGAACUUGACCCUGCAAUGUACCCAGAACAUGGACCAUGAGUACAUGUACUGGUACCGACAAGACCCGGGACUGGGGCUGAGGCUGAUCCACUACUCUCUUGGUGUUGGUGAUACUAAAAAUGGUGAGAUCCCCGAGGGUUACAGCGUCUCCAGAUCAAAAAAGGAGCACUUCCACCUCACGCUGGGGUCGGCCUCCCCCACGCAGACAGCUGUGUACUUCUGCGCCAGCAGUUACUCCACAGUGCUGCAGGGUCACAUCAGCCCCUCACAAAAAGGGCUCACGAGGCCCCCUUAGCCGGCUCAGACCCGGGGCCUCAGAGCUGGAGUGAAAGUUGCAGGGCCCACUGUUCCUGCUAGGUGCAGCUCUGGGCCACUCUCAGCCAGCCUAGACCUGGGGAUGGGACUCAGUCACGUGUCUCUGGGCUAGCAGCAAUCACACAGAGCUGCAAUGUGUUCUGCCCUGGGUCCCCUUACCUGACACGCAUGCUCCCGCCAAAAGAAAGGGAGUUUGAAACUACAGUGUCCAGUUAAUGAAAGUAGACUUAUUUUAGUGACCAUGGAACACCUGGGGGUUCUUCUAGCAGUGA
Non-coding RNA from Loxodonta africana (African savanna elephant), 718 nucleotides. NCBI's taxonomy places the organism in Eukaryota, Metazoa, Chordata, Mammalia, Proboscidea, Elephantidae. The record is from the annotation of a RefSeq genome assembly.